Molecule: long non-coding RNA, 7396 nt
Filed under: Medicago truncatula (barrel medic)
Lineage: Eukaryota; Viridiplantae; Streptophyta; Magnoliopsida; Fabales; Fabaceae
Description: long non-coding RNA (MTRU_LNC008335)
Rfam family: MIR5285 microRNA precursor family (bases 4291-4353)
Source: RNAcentral
CUCCCUUAGCUCACCAGACGAUGCUAAAAAUGUUGCUGAUUACCUCUAUACUAACUUUCUUAGUGGUCAAUUUGGUCCACUUGGAAGUGUUACCUUAGAUGGUAUUGAUUUUGACAUUGAAGGAGGUAGCGAUCUUUACUGGGAUGACCUUGCUAGGAAUCUUGACAAUCUAAGACAACAAAACAGGUAAUGUUUUUUGAAUGAGAAGUUUUAGCAUGUUAAUACUAGUAGUUUGUCCGUCUCAUAUUAUGUAUUUUUAAGAUUAUGUCCAUUUCUUAAGAGCAUCAUUGAGUGUACAAAAUUUUAAGAUAAAAAUGAGUUUAAUUUCACAAAAAUAUUUUUAUUAAUGGUGGUUAGUAGUGGUUUGAAAUAAGGGGUAAAUAUGGCAACAAAGCCCAUAUAUGUGGGUACCCGUCUGUACCAAACUUAAAUUGACGGAUUUUCCCUGCUUUGAUUGGGUUUGAGUUUUCUUCGAUUUCAAAACACGAGUAUGAGACCGGUAAUGGACAUAUAAGUACCCACCCUUAACCCAUACCCAAACCCGUCUCGAAUGUAAAAAAAUCAAUUUAUUAUCCUUUUUAUAUAAAUAGAAACUCCAAACCUAAAUCAUUUCACUCACACUCUCAAUCUUUCAGACGACACUCACUUCUAUAAGUUCUUUCUCGUCUCCUUCCACAUUUCACACCCUGGGUCUCUCUCUUCCCCAUAACCUAGUCAUCGAUCAUCAUCAUUUCUUUGCUGAAUAAUGCAAUACAACAUUGAGCCUGAGGCUGAAAAAUACUUCUUUUUAUUAAAAAAUUUAUCCACUGCGGGGAUGAAGAUGGUACGGAGAUACACAAAUCGGUCGGGGAUGAGGAUGAGAUUCAAUUUCUCAUCCCUAUUGAGUAUGCGUAGGGUAACAGGUAAGUAUUUGAGACUAUGGUAUGAGAACGGGGAAGUUAAAAUUCUUCCCCACCUCGCCCCAUUGUCAUGCCUAAUAAGGGGUGCCAACUUAGUUUGGAUGUCUGGUAGUUUCUUUGAUGUUUUUAUGCUCUUAAUUUAGGAAACAAAUAGUGGUUUGAGAUAAAAUAAAGGCAAAAUUACACAAUUAGUCCCUUAACUUUAUUUUAGGUAACAUUUUCGUCCUUUAUCUUUUUUUUGUCACGAUUUAGUCCUUUAUGUUAUAAAAUGACAAUAUCUUAUCAUUUUUUAUGAGAUUUUUUUCAAAGAAAUUUGAUUUUCUAGACUUGUAUGAUGAAGAUUUACGUUUGCCUAAGAGUUUGAUGAUUUUUUUUUGGAGUUUUUGAUUAUUUUUUUCAUAAAAAAGGAUAACUAUGUUGUUAUUUUAUAACAUAUAGGACUAAAUCGUGACAAAAAAAAGAUAAAGGACGAAAGUGUUACCUAAAAUAAAGUUAAGGGACUAAUUGUAUAAUUUUGCCUAAAAUAAAUACAUAUGAUGAUUUGAUUUUUGAUAUGAUACGAUACGGAAAAUGUUAGAAAGUGCUCUUAUUAAGAAGUUUAAAGCGAAAAUUUUAUCUUGGUAAUUAUGUAUUUUGCACGUUGAUGGGAUAUAAAGCAACUUUUUAUAUAUAUAAAACUUAUCAAUUGUUUCCUUUUUUGUAUCAUUAAAAAGUGCCCUAAAAGCACUUCUUAGCUUGACUCGUAUAAUAUUUAUCAUAAAAGAAAAUAGCUUUCCAUUCAAUAUAUUUUUGAAUCCUUUUUUGCCUACACCCUAACUAAAAUCAACCUUUUAUCUCUUGCAGGUACUUUUACUUGGCAUCUGCACCCCAAUGUUUUAUGCCAGAUCACUACCUUGACAAAGCUAUCAAAACUGGCUUGUUUGAUUAUAUACUUGUUCAAUUCUACAAUAAUCCUCCAUGUCAAUAUGAUAUAAUAAACUCAGAUGCUACAUUGCUCUUACAAUCAUGGAAUGAUUGGACAUCUUUAGCUUUACCAAAUAAUACCGUUUUCAUGGGACUACCAGCAGCACCUGAUGCAGCUCCUUAUGGUGGUUAUAUACCACCAGAUGAUCUCAUUUCUAAGGUUCUUCCUUUCAUUAAACCAACUUCGAACUAUGGAGGAAUUAUGCUUUGGGAUAGAUUUCAUGAUGUUGGAAAUGAUUACAGCAAUCAGAUAAAGGAGUAUGUUAAACGAUCUGUUCUUCGAUUUGUGACACAAGUUUCUGAGGCAAUAGUUGGAUCUAUCUCGGCAGCUUUGAACUCCAUGUUUCCGAAUUAAAUCAUAUUAUAAAUUGAUAGUAAUCGCGUAGCUCACUAUAUAUAUAUAUAUGUAUGUGUAUGCAAUAAGACAAAACUCAGAUCCUCUACGACCAACUUUACGAUGGUUAUAGAUCGUUAGAUUAAGAAAAAAAAGUGAUCAGGAUCACUUAUUAUGCUUUGUACCUUUAUGCAUAAUAUGUACCUAGUUACACUUUGAUUCCCUCGGUUUUCAUGUAACCGGUGGGAAUCAAAACAUCUUAUGUAUGUACUGGAAGUCACUUUGAAAUUUGAAUAACAUUGUGCGUUUUCAACUUAAAUUCUAACCAGUCUAUGUAAUUCACAAAAGUGUAUAAGAACAACUAUAUUUUUGUAAGUUUUUUCGUAAAACAUUUUCUUAACAAAAUAUGUAAUAUAAUGUGAACUCGAGUAUAAAGUUUUUUAAUCUGAUGAAGCGUCACUACGUGGUUAUACUUAAUGGCAGUUUGAUUUUUAGGGCAACAAAGGAAACAAGGCAGUUGGUUGAAGGUAGUGAAAGGGAGUAGUAUGGACUUCUGUAAGCUUAUGUACAUUAGUUAAUUAGAAGCAACCAGGUUUUUUGUGAAGAUGAAUACCAUACAAAUUCCAUAGUCACCACCAAAAUUCAAAAGAUUCUAUGUUUGUCCUGAUGCAUGUAGAAAAGAUUUUAUGGCGGAAUGUAGCUAGGUCAUUGAUUGAUUUAGAUGGAUGCUUUCUCAAAGGAUGUUUUGGAGGGAAACAAUUGUCUGUUGUGGGACAAGAUGAAAAUAAUUGCAAUUUUGUCACUGCUUAUGCCAUUGUGGAUGUAGAAAAUGGGGAUAAUUGGAAGUGGUUUUUGAUACUAUUGCAUGAGGAGCUUGGAGACAACGUGCAGAACGGAAUUAAUUUUAUUUCAGACAUGCAAAAGGUAAUAAAAUACUGCAUGGAUUAUAUUCUAUUUUGACAACUUUCUAUUCUGUUAUUAUAUUCUGCAUGUAUGUUAUAAUUGCUCGUUUUAGGAUCAACUUGUUGGGAAAGUGACUCAAAAUUGGAGAAAUUGAGUUUGCUGAAGCUGUCAAAAUCGGAGCCCGAUUUGGAGAAAUGGAGAAAUCGGAGCACGAUUUUAUGUUGCAGAAUUGGCACUUUCAUUCGUAAAAAAUCGGAGCACGAUUUUGCGCAGAGUCAGAAAAAUAAAACGUAUUUUUGGGCCUGAUUUUGUUCCAAUUUAUGAGGGAUUCUUUUACUAUAAAUAUAGGCUUUGUAUCAGUAAUCCUUGAGAUAGAGGGGGCUCAAACGAGGGUUUAGAAAGACAACAACAAAACUAGGGUUUGUAUAGAGUUUGUCUCUUUGGCAACAAACACUUGGGUUUGAGGGUUGAUUCACUUUGGGAAACACUAUUAGGAUUGAGUCUCUUGGUUACGGGAAGAGAUUGAGGCUUUGGGUAGAAGGCGGGAGACUUAUUCUUGUAACCAUUGAUAUCUCUUUUGUAACGUUACUCAUCAUAUAGUGAAACGGAUGACUGCUCUCUCCCCCAUACUAGGUCAAUUUGGACUGAACUGGGUCAACAAAUUCUUUUGUGUUCUCUCUUCUUUUCUCUCGCUGUUUUCUACUUUUUGUUUGCGUUUAUAAUUGUUUCAUACACUGCGAUUUUGGUUGCUUGAUUAUCACUUGCUCCACACAUCAAGUUGUGAAAGUGACUCAAAAUUGGAGAAAUUGAAGUUUGCUGAAACUGUCAAAAUCGAAGCCCGAUUUGGAAAAAUCGGAACACGAUUUUUUGGAGAAGAAUUGACACUUUCAUUCGUAAAAAAUCUGAGCACGGUCUGGAAAAAUCGGAGCACGAUUUCGCGCAGAAGAAUAAAAAUAAAACGUAUUUAUAUGGGCCUGAUUUGGUUCCAAUUUAUGAGGGAUGCUUUUACUAUAAAUAUAAACAUUGUAUCAGUGUAAACCUUGAGAUAGAGGGGGCUGAAACAAGGGUUUAGAAAGAUAACAACAAAACUAGAGUUCGUAUAGAGUUUGCCUCUUUGGAAGAAACACUAGGGUUUGAGGGUUGAUUCACCUUGAGAAACACUAUUAAGAUUGAGUCUCUUGGUUACGGUAAGAGAUUGAGACUUUGGGUAGAAUUAGGCGGGAGACUUAUUUUUGUAACCCAUUGAUAUCUCUUUUGUAAGGUUACUCAUCAUUAUAGUGAAACGGGGGCUGCUCUCUCCCACAUACUAGGUCAAUUUGGACAAGACUGGGUCAACAAAUUCUUUUGUGUUCUCUCUUCCUUUCUCUCCCGUUGUUUUCUACUUUUGGCUUGUGUUUAAAAUUGUUCCAUACACUUUGUUUUGGUUGCUUGACUAUCCCUUGCUCCACACAUCAAGUUUGUUAUUGGUGUGAUUUUUUCAUCGAAUUCACAACAGGAUGCUUGAUUUAUGCAUCAACCCUACCUGUUAACAGACAUAAAUUUGAUUAUAGAGCUAAGAAAUGUGCUUUCUUAUGUUAGAAGUCUGGCAUUAAAGGUUUUGUUCUUGUUGAUGUCCAUACUUCUGAAGUCUUAGUUUCCAAAUUUGUGAAAUUUUUUUAACUGGAAUUUCCAUUUCAUUCUUCUAGUAUAACUUCAGUUCCCAAUACACAGAUUUAUCUUUGAUAGUCAAGUCAUUUAACCAAUGCCUGUUAGUUCUUCUCCUCCUAAUGUUGUGAGUUCUAAUGAAGACAAUGUUGAAGUUUUAAAUGAAGAUAAUAUUAGUGAUAAUGAAGAGAGGGAUAUUGAUAUUGUGCAUGUAUCUACCAGAAAGUCUUUUAGGGUUUCUCAGGCACCUUCUCACUUGCAAGACUAUAUCUGCAUCUCCAUAGGUGGUAACUAUCCUAUGCGUAAAUUCCUUAGUUAUUCAACUCUAUUUCCUAAACACCAGCUUAUGCAUACUAUUUGAACACUGAACUUGAGCCCACUAGUUUUUAUUCUGCUAGUAAAGACUCUAGAUGGAUAACUGCUAUGCAGACAGAGAUAGAAGCACUCAAUGCUAACAAUACUUGAGAAUUUGUUGAUCUUCCUUCAGAUGCAACAUCUAUAGGCAGUAAUGAGUGUAUAAAAUAAAAAGACAUGCAGAUGGCACUAUAGAACGUUUCAAAGCACCGUUGGUUGCACAAGGUUUUAACCAAGUCAAUGCACACGUGGACGCCACGUAUGUAAUUUUUUUUAAUUAAAAAAUUAAAAUAAAAAUUUAUAUUUUUUAAUUUAAAAAUAUAUAUUAAAAAAUAAAAAAAUAAAAAAUACAUACACACGUGGCGUCCACAUGUGCAUUGACUUGGUCAAAAUUGCCCUGGGGGGCCAAAACUGUAAAAAAAGUCAAUACUUUGGGGGCAAUUUUGUAGUUUAUUUAGUUAGGAGGCCAAAAUCGCAACUUCUUAAAACAUAGGGGGCCAAAACUACUAUUAAGCUUUUUAUAAUCCAUCUAACAAUAGUGUUUUUUUUUUUUUGGGUAAAUACCUCUUUUCGUCCCUGUAAUAUUAGCGAAUUCCGAUUUUAGUCCCUAUAAAAAAAAGAUUUAGAUUUUGUCUCUGUAAUUUAAGAUUCUUCCACUUUUGAUCCCUCAUUCCACCACGUCAGCAGAAUCUGCAUACAUGGUACCUAAAAUGAGGGAUCAAAAGUGGAGGAAUCUGAAAUUAAAGGAACCAAAAGUGGGAGGAAUCUGAAAUUACAAGGACGUAAUUGAUGCAGAUUUUGCUGACGUGAUGAAAAGAGGGACCAAAAGUGGAAGAAUCUGAAAUUACAGGGACAAAAUCUAAAGCAUUUUAUUUACAGUGACUAAAACCGAAAUUCGCUAAUAUUACAGGGACGAAAAGAGGUAUUUACCCUUUUUUUUUUUUUGGCUUAAUUGCACUUUUCCCCCCUAUAGUUUGCCAAUUGUGCGAUUUUGCACCCCAUAGUUUUAACGAGCGAUUUUGCCCCCUAUAGAUUUCCCCCUUUAUGAUUUUAUGGUCCCCAUGAUAUUUAGUGCUGGUUUUUUUAUCAAUUAAUGUGUGUCACGUGUGUAAUUCUAUUUUUUAAAAAAUAAAAAAAUGGUAUUUUUCAGAUUUUGAGAGAAGGAGGCACGUGAUUUUUCAGAUUUUAUCACGUGUCUCCUUCUCUCAAAAUCUGAAAAAUACCAUUUUUUUUAUUUUUUAAAAAAUGGAAUUACACACGUGGCACACAUUAAUUGAUAAAAACAGACAUAUCAGCACUAAAUGUCAUGGGACCAUAAAAUCAGAAAGGGGGAAAACUAUAGGGGGCAAAAUCGCUCGUUUAAAACUAUGGGGUGUAAAAUCGCACAAUUGGCAAACUAUAAAAGAAAAAAGUGCAAUUAAGCCUUUUUUUUUUUACCGUAUGAAAGUAAUGAAAAAUAGCUUGUUUGCCCUAAACUAAAAUCAGCAGCACCUAUACUAAGUUCACUAUAUUAUACUCUUUCUUUUUUCUUGACAACACCAUGUUUUAUUAAAACAGCCCUGUGCCAGAAAUAACUAAAGGGCAAUAUAUCAACAGAGAACAAAAGCCAAAGGCCAACAUUAGUAGGAAAACCUCAUCCUAUGUUAUACCUACAGAUACAAUAGUGAAAUCAGAGCUUACAAAAUCAGAUAUCACUUAGAUAAACUAGCUACUAUAAGUCUUAAAUAUCUCUCAUUCGCUGUAAUUACUAUACAUAUAAGUUUAGUCAGCUUAAUAUAUAUUAAUAAAUUACAUUCCUAAAUUUCAUUAUCUCUAAAAUCAAUAUCUUUUUCCUUAAAGCAUACAAACAGCAUAUAAAUACUUAACUGACUUCUAAUUCAAUGUCUAAUUUUGAGUUGUAUGGGAAAGUGUCCUUACCUUAAGUGCUCUCCUUCCUAAUAUAUAGAGAAUUCUACCCAAUUGCCGGAACACGACUUCAAGAAUUAUUCUUCACUCAGGAGAGUACAAAUGGAAGAACAAAAGGGUGACUUUAUUUAGAAUGAAAUUAAAGGAUUGAAGAAAGAAUAGAAGAACAGACAAUGAAAUGACCCUUACCUCAAGACUUGAAUGGCAUGAAGCAUUUAUAUAAUAAAUGGGAGAGUUCAAUUGAGAAAAUGGUGGCUUGUAGUUUCAAUUUUUGGCAGGUAAAUGUUUUCAAUUUUGUGAGAUUAGAAAAUUUGGCUGAGUAUUGUAGGUGAGGUGUAUUUCUGUACUGGAAAUUGGAAAUAUGAAGUGGUGGUAGUUGAGAAGAAAUAGGAAC